UCGCACGCAGAAGGGCAAAGAUUCUGUUCUUCGCAGUCUCCAGUUUAAAAGGACCGGGCAGUAGGUGAUUUGAAAGACCCCUACGUGAGACCCUGGAGAGCCAUUCCCAGUGUGAACAAUGUUGCUGCCGUUCCUCUUCCUCGUAUCUGCAUCAUUUUUCCUGCCUGGGGACAGCGAGGUGAUGUCUACUUUUAGUGAAUGCAGACAGUUCUUCUUCAAGGAGAAGUUCCCAAACGAUGCUCUGAAGCCAUUGAACCCAGCCAGGAUCUGCCAGAAAUACAAGAACAAGUACUUCUUUGCCACCAUGUACGACAAGACUAAGCGCAUCCCGAUAUACUCUGCUUAUGUUUACGAUCCUCAGCCAGUACAAAGCUCUGAAGAAUGGAUGAUUGAGCCUCAGCUGGUAGGAAUAUGGUCCGAACAUGGAAGAUGAGAUAUUAACGAGGAUUCCAGUGCCAGAGAUUCUAGCAAGCCAGGCCAUGUCCCGGGACUACUCAGCAGCCCCUGGAGAUGUGGACAGAGGGCACCUGAACCCAGUGGGCCAUCAGCCCGACGACGACAGCAAAGCGGCUACUUUCACCUUGACCAACAUCGUGCCGCAGUUCAACCGGUCCAACCAAAGGUCAUGGAGAGAGUACGAAACAACAACAAUGGCAGGGAAACAGAGAGAGUUUCGCUGCACGAAAAUCUACGUGGUCACCGGAGCGGUCCCUGGGAAUACGUUCAUUUCAGGAAACCGGGUCAAUUAUCCCAGUCAUGUCUGGUCUGCUGCCUGCUGUGAGGUUACUAAAACCAGCAGGCAGUCCUGGGGCGCCAUUACAGAUAAUAACCGGAAUGUACCACCUGGCGUAAUACCUCCAGUCAGAAUUCUCACCUUGAGACAACUGGAGGUAGAACUCCAGACACUGUACAAAAAGAAGAACGUCGAUAUUUUCGGCAGUUCUUGCUACUAGGCCGAAAGCUGCAAAUCCACUUGCCUGUCCCCGAAUGUUCUGUCAAGAGUUGACCAUGGGAUGAGGGUGGGAUGAGUGAGCCCUGGCAGAGCAACACUAUCUCUGGCCUCUCAUGAGCCAGUUUCAGAGGGCAGCCAUCUUGAUCUGCCGUAGAACGGCUAGUUUUGAGACCUUAGAGACCAACCAGAUUUUCAGAGUAGCAGCAUUUGAGAAGAAGGGAGCUCUGAUUCUCAUAACUACCCCUGACUCUCAACCAGCCCCCCAGAAAAUCUUGUUCUCUAAGGUACCACUGGGCUCGAAUCUAUUGCAGCUGACAGACACUACUGCUUCCAACAAACACUGAGACAAGCAAAAAAAGUAGACAGCCAUGUCUGCUCAACUGGCAAUGCUUUCCCCAUCACAACACUUCCAUCCCUUAAAAAUAUUGACCUUCAGUUAGGAUUGCCAGGUCUUGCCUGGCUACCACCAGGGGGGGAGGGGCUAGGGUUGCUAGAUCUAGGUGGGGAAACUCUUGGAGAUUUGAGGAAGGAGCUUAUGGAAGUCAGGGACCUUGGUGGGGUAAAUUGCCACAGAGUCCACCCUCCAAAGCGUCCAUUUUCUCCACGGGAACUGAUCUUUGUAGUCUGGAGAUGAGCUGGAAUUCUGGAGGAUCCCCAGGUCCCACCUUCAUCCCAUGGAGCCCGGAACAGAGGGACAGGAAAGCUUUUCUAGCUAACUGCAGCUUCAAUGCCAUAUAAUUGUUGAUCGGCAUAAACUCUAUCUAUCCUUUGGCACUUUGAAAAAUACUUUUCCAAUGUCUUCUCUAGGAGCAAAGAACCUGGCAGCCAAGUCCUGCCUUAUGAUUCAACCCCUGGUCUAAACGAUCCACCCUAUUUCUGAGGAUGGUGGGGCUUUGGCCGUCCUGUUUUGUGUUUUGCUAUUUUAUCCAUGGCUUUUGCUGGAGAUACUGGAGAGGUUUCAACUAUGACAGUAAGCUGCCUUGAGCCACGAGGAAAGGCAGGCUGUAAUUUUUUAAAUAAAUUAAAUGUGCCUCCAUCCUCUCUUCCAUUUCCAAGCAACCCCAAGCAGAAUUCUCAAGAGGUGCGAUAAAACCCACCAAAACCAACGAGAGAGGUGCAUCAGGUUGGAGGGCUGAUCUGCAAAAGGUUCUUAGCGGAGAGAUGGAAGAAACAUCUUUUCAAAACAUUCUGUCAUAACCGCUCAGCCUUUUUUCCUUGUUUCUGUUGCCAAAGAGCACUCAAUCAAAUAAAGAU
Molecule: long non-coding RNA, 2206 nt
Organism: Sphaerodactylus townsendi
Lineage: Eukaryota; Metazoa; Chordata; Lepidosauria; Squamata; Sphaerodactylidae
Exons: 4
Source: RefSeq, a predicted model, not a curated record